This is a long non-coding RNA of Gallus gallus (chicken), 467 nucleotides long. The record is from Ensembl. Lineage: Eukaryota; Metazoa; Chordata; Aves; Galliformes; Phasianidae.
UGAUGAUUAAAUCAUUUCCUCUUAUGAAUCACUAAUCUUCUGUGAAGCAGCCAGUGCUAAUUUCAACACCCAUUCCAGCUGUAAUGGAAAUGGACGGAUUACUUUGGGGAACAAUUGUGUCUAACUCAACUUCACUGAAGCCAGUGGGGAGCACGUGAUUGAAUUCCACCAGGCACAGAAACUGUCCUUUGACAGAGCAAGUCCAGAAAGUGUUGAAAACGAACGUACAGAAGCAUGCUGCAGGAACUGCUGUCCCUGGCUUCAUCUUGCUGCCUGGUAAGAAAGCAGAUUGACCAUCUGAGAAGAAUUCCCCAAAUGCCUGGCGUUUUCCUGUGGCACAGAGAUGCCUGAGAUUCAGCUUUGGGCACUGCAGUUUGGCAGCUGUAUAGGAAUAAGGUGGGGCUGGACAGCCUGGGAAAUGCCACAGGAUCAGACAGCUUGCUGAACAGGAGCUACAACACAAGAAU